RNAcentral lists this ribosomal RNA (2761 nucleotides) under Staphylococcus aureus. RNAcentral describes it as "bacterial LSU rRNA". It matches the Rfam family "Bacterial large subunit ribosomal RNA". Lineage: Bacteria; Bacillati; Bacillota; Bacilli; Caryophanales; Staphylococcaceae. The record is from RNAcentral.
ACGAUAUGCUUUGGGGAGCUGUAAGUAAGCUUUGAUCCAGAGAUUUCCGAAUGGGGAAACCCAGCAUGAGUUAUGUCAUGUUAUCGAUAUGUGAAUACAUAGCAUAUCAGAAGGCACACCCGGAGAACUGAAACAUCUUAGUACCCGGAGGAAGAGAAAGAAAAUUCGAUUCCCUUAGUAGCGGCGAGCGAAACGGGAAGAGCCCAAACCAACAAGCUUGCUUGUUGGGGUUGUAGGACACUCUAUACGGAGUUACAAAGGACGACAUUAGACGAAUCAUCUGGAAAGAUGAAUCAAAGAAGGUAAUAAUCCUGUAGUCGAAAAUGUUGUCUCUCUUGAGUGGAUCCUGAGUACGACGGAGCACGUGAAAUUCCGUCGGAAUCUGGGAGGACCAUCUCCUAAGGCUAAAUACUCUCUAGUGACCGAUAGUGAACCAGUACCGUGAGGGAAAGGUGAAAAGCACCCCGGAAGGGGAGUGAAAUAGAACCUGAAACCGUGUGCUUACAAGUAGUCAGAGCCCGUUAAUGGGUGAUGGCGUGCCUUUUGUAGAAUGAACCGGCGAGUUACGAUUUGAUGCAAGGUUAAGCAGUAAAUGUGGAGCCGUAGCGAAAGCGAGUCUGAAUAGGGCGUUUAGUAUUUGGUCGUAGACCCGAAACCAGGUGAUCUACCCUUGGUCAGGUUGAAGUUCAGGUAACACUGAAUGGAGGACCGAACCGACUUACGUUGAAAAGUGAGCGGAUGAACUGAGGGUAGCGGAGAAAUUCCAAUCGAACCUGGAGAUAGCUGGUUCUCUCCGAAAUAGCUUUAGGGCUAGCCUCAAGUGAUGAUUAUUGGAGGUAGAGCACUGUUUGGACGAGGGGCCCCUCUCGGGUUACCGAAUUCAGACAAACUCCGAAUGCCAAUUAAUUUAACUUGGGAGUCAGAACAUGGGUGAUAAGGUCCAUGUUCGAAAGGGAAACAGCCCAGACCACCAGCUAAGGUCCCAAAAUAUAUGUUAAGUGGAAAAGGAUGUGGCGUUGCCCAGACAACUAGGAUGUUGGCUUAGAAGCAGCCAUCAUUUAAAGAGUGCGUAAUAGCUCACUAGUCGAGUGACACUGCGCCGAAAAUGUACCGGGGCUAAACAUAUUACCGAAGCUGUGGAUUGUCCUUUGGACAAUGGUAGGAGAGCGUUCUAAGGGCGUUGAAGCAUGAUCGUAAGGACAUGUGGAGCGCUUAGAAGUGAGAAUGCCGGUGUGAGUAGCGAAAGACGGGUGAGAAUCCCGUCCACCGAUUGACUAAGGUUUCCAGAGGAAGGCUCGUCCGCUCUGGGUUAGUCGGGUCCUAAGCUGAGGCCGACAGGCGUAGGCGAUGGAUAACAGGUUGAUAUUCCUGUACCACCUAUAAUCGUUUUAAUCGAUGGGGGGACGCAGUAGGAUAGGCGAAGCGUGCGAUUGGAUUGCACGUCUAAGCAGUAAGGCUGAGUAUUAGGCAAAUCCGGUACUCGUUAAGGCUGAGCUGUGAUGGGGAGAAGACAUUGUGUCUUCGAGUCGUUGAUUUCACACUGCCGAGAAAAGCCUCUAGAUAGAAAAUAGGUGCCCGUACCGCAAACCGACACAGGUAGUCAAGAUGAGAAUUCUAAGGUGAGCGAGCGAACUCUCGUUAAGGAACUCGGCAAAAUGACCCCGUAACUUCGGGAGAAGGGGUGCUCUUUAGGGUUAACGCCCAGAAGAGCCGCAGUGAAUAGGCCCAAGCGACUGUUUAUCAAAAACACAGGUCUCUGCUAAACCGUAAGGUGAUGUAUAGGGGCUGACGCCUGCCCGGUGCUGGAAGGUUAAGAGGAGUGGUUAGCUUCUGCGAAGCUACGAAUCGAAGCCCCAGUAAACGGCGGCCGUAACUAUAACGGUCCUAAGGUAGCGAAAUUCCUUGUCGGGUAAGUUCCGACCCGCACGAAAGGCGUAACGAUUUGGGCACUGUCUCAACGAGAGACUCGGUGAAAUCAUAGUACCUGUGAAGAUGCAGGUUACCCGCGACAGGACGGAAAGACCCCGUGGAGCUUUACUGUAGCCUGAUAUUGAAAUUCGGCACAGCUUGUACAGGAUAGGUAGGAGCCUUUGAAACGUGAGCGCUAGCUUACGUGGAGGCGCUGGUGGGAUACUACCCUAGCUGUGUUGGCUUUCUAACCCGCACCACUUAUCGUGGUGGGAGACAGUGUCAGGCGGGCAGUUUGACUGGGGCGGUCGCCUCCUAAAAGGUAACGGAGGCGCUCAAAGGUUCCCUCAGAAUGGUUGGAAAUCAUUCAUAGAGUGUAAAGGCAUAAGGGAGCUUGACUGCGAGACCUACAAGUCGAGCAGGGUCGAAAGACGGACUUAGUGAUCCGGUGGUUCCGCAUGGAAGGGCCAUCGCUCAACGGAUAAAAGCUACCCCGGGGAUAACAGGCUUAUCUCCCCCAAGAGUUCACAUCGACGGGGAGGUUUGGCACCUCGAUGUCGGCUCAUCGCAUCCUGGGGCUGUAGUCGGUCCCAAGGGUUGGGCUGUUCGCCCAUUAAAGCGGUACGCGAGCUGGGUUCAGAACGUCGUGAGACAGUUCGGUCCCUAUCCGUCGUGGGCGUAGGAAAUUUGAGAGGAGCUGUCCUUAGUACGAGAGGACCGGGAUGGACAUACCUCUGGUGUACCAGUUGUCGUGCCAACGGCAUAGCUGGGUAGCUAUGUGUGGACGGGAUAAGUGCUGAAAGCAUCUAAGCAUGAAGCCCCCCUCAAGAUGAGAUUUCCCAACUUCGGUUAU